RNAcentral lists this ribosomal RNA (200 nucleotides) under uncultured eukaryote. RNAcentral's name for it is "partial 18S ribosomal RNA". It matches the Rfam family "Eukaryotic small subunit ribosomal RNA", at positions 588 to 797 of the family's 1831-position model. The record is from RNAcentral.
GCUCCAAUAGCGUAUAUUUAAGUUGUUGCAGUUAAAAAGCUCGUAGUUGGAUUUCGGGCGUGGAAGUUCGGUCCGCCGUUUGGUGUGCACUGGCUGGUUUCAACUUCCUGCGGAGGACGCGCUCUGGGCUUAACGGUCUGGACGUGGAGUCCGCGUGGUUACUUUGAAAAAAUUAGAGUGUUCAAGCGGGCUUACGCUUG